GAUGAACGCUAGCUACAGGCUUAACACAUGCAAGUCGAGGGGCAACGACAUCGAAAGUUUGCUUUUGAUGGGCCUCGACCGGCACACGGGUGAGUAACGCGUAUCCCACCUGCCCAUCACUUGGGAAUAACCUUGCGCAAGUAAGACUAAUACCCACUACUAUCCCACGAAAGCAUCGGAUUGUGGUUCAUGAUUUAUCGGUGUUAGCUGGUGAUGCGUCUGAUUAGCUUGUUGGCGGGGUAACGGCCCACCAAGGCAACGAUCAGUAGCGGUUCUGAGAGGAAGGUCCCCUACAUUGGAACUGAGACACGGUCCAAACUCCUACGGGAGGCAGCAGUGAGGAAUAUUGUGCAAUGGGGGAGAGCCUGAACCAGCCAAGUAGCGGGCAGGAAGACGGGCCUAUGGGUUGUAAACUGCUUUGAUAAGGGAAUAAAGUGGGUCACGUGUGACUUUUUGCAUGUACCUAAUGAAUAAGGACCGGCUAAUUCCGUG
This 492-nucleotide ribosomal RNA is filed under the name uncultured bacterium. Its description in RNAcentral is "partial 16S ribosomal RNA". It matches the Rfam family "Bacterial small subunit ribosomal RNA", at positions 28 to 507 of the family's 1533-position model. The record is from RNAcentral.